GGAGCUCUGCACGGGAGCGAUUGCCCAAUAAAGCCUCUUAACACUCCGGUGCUCUCUUCAUCUUGCCGCUGCGUUCUUACAGGUCAUCAGAGAGCACCAGACUGGGCUGCCUGUGCUACACAGCUGGUACAAAAUUCUGAACUCAAGGAAGAGGAUGAAUUUGAAGACAUUUUUGUAAAUUUUAUAUUUUGAAUAAAAAUUCAAAGUAUG
Long non-coding RNA from Cervus elaphus (red deer), 210 nucleotides. RefSeq lists it as uncharacterized. NCBI's taxonomy places the organism in Eukaryota, Metazoa, Chordata, Mammalia, Artiodactyla, Cervidae. The transcript is spliced from 3 exons. The record is from RefSeq and is a predicted model, not a curated record.